Poecilia reticulata (guppy) is the source of this 699-nucleotide non-coding RNA. Lineage: Eukaryota; Metazoa; Chordata; Actinopteri; Cyprinodontiformes; Poeciliidae. The record is from RefSeq and is a predicted model, not a curated record.
GAGGAAACAAAACAAAACAACAAUGAAUCAAAAAGAGAUGAAGAGGAGAGGAAAAAAUCACAGAGAUUAACGAGAUGGAGGGAGAUUUAUAGGCUUCCCUCCUGAGAAAGAGGAAAACGUGAUUUAUCCCAAGAGACAGACAGAGCAUGUGACGGGUUCACGGCCGGGUCGUCUCCAAGCAACGUUCAAGAAACGACUAAACUGACCUUUUGCUGACCCCUGAUAUUCAAUGAAGCACCAACAUCAGCGUGUGAUGAUAUUCUGGUUCCCAUCACAUGACAGCAGCGUCUGAAAAACUGCUGCGAAUGUUCAGAGACACGGAAAAUACUUUAAAAAGUUAAUUUUAAUUGAUUUUCUCUGCAAAAACACAAACUAUUACCCGUUCUAGUUUCUAGAUCAGGUAGAUCUAGUCUCAUUUGAAAUGAGACUAAACUAAUUUACAAGUAACUUUUCAUGUUUUCAUGCAAAUAUAAGAGCUUGUUUUAAGUCAAUAAUUCCCUAAUAUUGAUUGAAAAUACUACCAGCAGAUUAUUGCACUUACAACAUGGGAAAAAUACCAGCGAUGUCCAAAGUGUGGCACAGGGGCCAUUUGCGGUCCUCUGAAUGAUUUUGUUUGGCUCCUCUGCCCACAGAGGGUCUAGUGGAGAACAAAACACCAGACUGAAGACAUUUAUCAUUCAGUUUUUAGUAAAAAAAAAA